Molecule: ribosomal RNA, 512 nt
Filed under: Trichinella britovi
Lineage: Eukaryota; Metazoa; Nematoda; Enoplea; Trichinellida; Trichinellidae
Description: partial large subunit ribosomal RNA
Rfam family: Eukaryotic large subunit ribosomal RNA
Source: RNAcentral
UCUCAUUACGCACUUUUUUUUCGGAAAAGGUGUAAUGAACGUUGAGACGGGUAGGAAGGUCGCGACAGUGUUGCUUUGAAGAGUUUUGAGCGUGAGCUCGCUCGGAGCCGCUGUUGGUGCAGAUCUUGGUGGUAGUAGCAAAUAUUCAAGUGAGAACCUUGAAGGCUGAAGUGGAGCAAGGUUCCAUGUGAACAGCAGUUGGACAUGGGUCAGUCGAUCCUAAGAAAACGGCGAAAGCUUGUUCGAAUUUGCGACAUGAAUUGUAAGACUGUGUGUUUAUUGUGUGUGUGCAGUUGUCGUAUGUUUUCGAAAGGGAAUCCGGUUGAUAUUCCGGAACCGAGUAACGGAGACAAAGAGUAGCGCUUUAAUCUCUCUGUGGGGUUGGCGUUCAACUCAAUCGCGCGGUAACGCAAGCGAACUCGGAAAAUGACCGUCGUGAGUUUCGAAAAGAGUUUUCUUUUCUUUUUAAGGGACGCAUUCCCUGGAACCGGGUUGUCCGGAGAUAGGGAUUC